Molecule: ribosomal RNA, 477 nt
Filed under: uncultured bacterium
Lineage: Bacteria
Description: bacterial SSU rRNA
Rfam family: Bacterial small subunit ribosomal RNA
Source: RNAcentral
AUUGAACGCUGGCGGCAUGCCUUACACAUGCAAGUCGAACGGCAGCGGACCUUCGGGUGCCGGCGAGUGGCGAACGGGUGAGUAAUAUAUCGGAACGUACCUUUCAGUGGGGGAUAACGUAGCGAAAGUUACGCUAAUACCGCAUAUUCUGUGAGCAGGAAAGCAGGGGAUCGCAAGACCUUGCGCUGAUUGAGCGGCCGAUAUCAGAUUAGCUAGUUGGUGAGGUAAAGGCUCACCAAGGCGACGAUCUGUAGCGGGUCUGAGAGGAUGAUCCGCCACACUGGAACUGAGACACGGUCCAGACUCCUACGGGAGGCAGCAGUGGGGAAUUUUGGACAAUGGGCGCAAGCCUGAUCCAGCCAUGCCGCGUGCAGGAUGAAGGCCCUAUGGGUUGUAAACUGCUUUAGACUGAGAAGAAACCCCUCAAUGCGUUGGGGGCUGACGGUAUCAGUAGAAUAAGCACCGGCUAACUCCGUG